AACGCAUGGUGAGGGUGUGAACAGAUCAUCUCCUUGAAUCGCUCCCAAGCUUCCGCAAGAGUCUCAUCAUUCUCUUGCCCAAAUGAGGAGAUCUUCCUCCUUAUGUC
Molecule: non-coding RNA, 107 nt
Organism: Beta vulgaris subsp. vulgaris (sugar beet)
Lineage: Eukaryota; Viridiplantae; Streptophyta; Magnoliopsida; Caryophyllales; Amaranthaceae
Source: Rfam